CCGAGCUCCUGCCCUUCGGGGUAGAGACGCCACCCUUGUAUACCUGACAGUUGUUGCUUUGGCGGGCCCGCCCGCCAGAGACCCCAAACCCUGAGUGUUAGUGUCGUCUGAGUACUAUACAAUAGUUA
This 128-nucleotide unclassified non-coding RNA is filed under the name uncultured Helotiales. Its description in RNAcentral is "sequence contains ITS1". Lineage: Eukaryota; Fungi; Ascomycota; Leotiomycetes; Helotiales. The record is from RNAcentral.